This is an RNA transcript of Jaculus jaculus (lesser Egyptian jerboa), 4352 nucleotides long. It is a transcript of the gene named G protein-coupled receptor 155, with no coding region annotated. NCBI's taxonomy places the organism in Eukaryota, Metazoa, Chordata, Mammalia, Rodentia, Dipodidae. The transcript is spliced from 17 exons. The record is from RefSeq and is a predicted model, not a curated record.
GCAGCCGCGGGCGCACGCCGUGCUCGCUGGGGGAAGAGGGCUGGGAGCGGGAGAUGACGGUGAUUUCCUCGCUGUCCGGCCGUCUGCGAGCACCGGCUUCCUUCCAGGCGCUGCCCCGGCGCUGGAGGCGUGCCAGAGAUCUGACUGGAGUUGGAGGGUGAGAGAGAAUGGCUUCUUAUUUACCUGCAGAGAACUCAACCACUGCAGUCAGCAUGAAUGGGAAUCUGUCAACAGCAGUCAUACAUGGGUUCAAUUCCACUCAUGACUCGCCUUCCAUGUCAAUAACAAGGCUUUUCCCAGCCUUACUAGAGUGCUUUGGCAUAGUUCUUUGUGGCUACAUAGCAGGAAGGGCCAAUGUCAUAACGUCAACACAGGCCAAAGGACUGGGAAAUUUUGUCUCCAGAUUUGCACUUCCAGCUUUAUUAUUCAAAAACAUGGUUGUACUUAAUUUUUCCAAUGUGGAUUGGGCUUUCCUCUAUAGUAUCUUAAUUGGCAAAGCCUCAGUAUUUUUAAUUGUCUGCGUAUUAACCUUAUUGGUUGCCAGUCCUGACAGUCGAUUCAGCAAAGCUGGACUAUUCCCUAUUUUUGCCACACAAAGUAAUGACUUCGCCUUGGGAUAUCCUAUCGUUGAAGCUUUGUACCAAACUACAUACCCAGAAUAUCUCCAGUACAUUUAUUUGGUGGCACCAAUAUCUCUUAUGAUGUUGAACCCUAUAGGGUUUAUCCUUUGUGAAAUCCAGAAGUCAAAAGAUGCUCAAAAUCCUUCUCAAAACAAAGUGAAAAUUGUGGGACUUGGAUUUCUUCGUGUAUUACAGAACCCAAUAGUAUUCAUGGUCUUCAUUGGCAUAGCCUUCAACUUUAUUCUUGAUAAAAAGAUCCCUGUAUAUAUGGAAAAUUUUCUUGAUGGACUUGCAAAUUCCUUUUCGGGAUCAGCCCUAUUCUAUCUUGGCCUUACCAUGGUGGGAAAAAUAAAGAGGCUGAAGAAGUCUGCAUUCGUUGUCCUCAUUCUUCUCAUCACGGCUAAACUCCUGGUGCUGCCACUUCUGUGCAGAGAAAUGGUGGAACUCUUGGACAAGGGGGACAGUAUAGUGAACCACACAAGUUUAUCAAAUUAUGCAUUUCUAUAUGGUGUCUUUCCUGUAGCACCAGGAGUGGCUAUCUUUGCAACACAGUUCAACAUGGAAGUAGAGAUUAUAACCUCAGGGAUGGUAAUAAGCACAUUUGUGUCUGCUCCAAUCAUGUAUGUUUCUGCCUGGUUACUGACCUUUCCUACCAUGGAUACUAAGCCAUUAGCAUAUGCUAUCCAGAAUGUUAGUUUUGACAUCAGUAUUAUCAGCCUGGUCUCCUUGAUCUGGUCUCUGGGUAUUCUUCUCUUGAGUAAGAAAUACAAGCAGCUUCCCCAUAUGCUUACAACGAAUUUGCUCGUUGCUCAGUCUAUUGUCUGUGCCGGAAUGAUGAUAUGGAAUUUUGUUAAAGAAAAAAAUUUUGUUGGACAAAUUCUGGUGUUUGUUUUAUUGUACAGCUCCUUGUAUAGCACCUACCUUUGGACAGGCCUUCUAGCAAUUUCUUUGUUUCUUUUGAAAAAACGAGAGAGUAUACAGAUUCCUGUUGGCAUUAUCAUAAUAUGUGGCUGGGGAAUUCCUGCUCUCCUUGUUGGUGUUCUUUUGAUCACUGGAAAACACAAUGGAGAUAGCAUUGACUCAGCCUUCUUUUAUGGAAAAGAGCAGAUGAUCACCACAGCAGUCACCCUGUUCUGCAGCAUUGUGAUAGCUGGCGUGUCCCUCAUGUGCAUGAACCGCACCACCCAAGCAGGACACUAUGAAGGCUUUGGCCAGGCUCAGAACCACAAACCCGGAGAAGCUGGAAGCACUCCUUUUGAGGAGAAUCUGGCACCAGCAAUCGAACCGGAACUGUUCACAAGUUCUAUCCCAGAGACAAGUUGCUGCUCUUGCUCCCUGGGAAAUGGUGACUUACGCUGUCCAUCAACAGAGCCAGUAGCAAACACAAGUACUAGUGUGUCUGUAACUCCUUCCUUCGAGAAAAAUGAUCACUGCGUGAGUCGCUGUAACUCGCAGAGCUGCGUGUUAGCCCAGGAAGAGCAGCAGUAUUUGCAAAGUGGAGACCAGCAACUGACUAGACACGUCUUGCUGUGUUUACUUCUCAUUAUUGGCCUGUUUGCAAAUCUCUCCAGCUGUUUAUGGUGGCUGUUCAACCAUGAGACUGGAAGGCUGUAUGUCGAGUUACAGUUUUUCUGUGCUGUGUUUAACUUUGGCCAGGGAUUUAUUUCCUUCGGAAUCUUUGGAUUGGACAAACAUCUAAUCAUCCUACCUUUCAAAAGAAGGCUUGAGUUCCUUUGGAACAAUAAAGAAACAGGAGAAAACAGAGAUUCUCCUGUUUCUGAAGAAAUAAAAAUGACCUGUCAGCAGUUUGUCCAUUAUCACCGAGACCUCUGUAUCCGGAACAUCGUCAAGGAAAGAAGGUGUGGUGCAAAGACUUCUGCUGGGACCUUCUGUGGCUGUGACCUGGUGAGCUGGCUGAUUGAAGUUGGCCUCGCGUCUGACCGUGGAGAAGCUGUGAUAUACGGAGACAGACUGGUACAAGGAGGAGUCAUCCAACACAUUACCAAUGAAUAUGAAUUUCGGGAUGAGUACUUGUUUUACAGAUUUCUUCUCAAGAGUCCUGAACAGAGUCCCCUUGCUACUAACACAAGCACUCCACAACAGGAAAGCUAUAAAGAAAUUGAUCCUUCAUCCUCUCCCUCACUUUCUCCCAAGAUAUAAAUUGUCAAGUAGAAAACUCCCAUGGAAUCAUACUCUAAUCUCACAGGUACUACUUUUAGCUAUGUGUCCUUGGGCAAGUUACCUUGCUGACCCUCAGCUAUGUCUUCUGUAAAAUCAGACAAGAUGCAUUCCUAUCUGGUGCUCCUAUUGAGUGACGUUAGUAUAUGUAAAGAACAUAGGAAACUGACUUGAAAAAGAAAAAACAACAAAUCAAAAGAUAAAGUUGCAAUGAUGACUAGGAUAUUUACUACAAGUGAUACUAUUAUAUUAAUAUUUUUAAAUCGUUUUUUUUUCUGCAACUACUUGUGAUAACCUCAUAAUCAGUACCCAUUGACUGUUCCUUUAAAAAGGUUUUUGUUGCUGGGUGUGGUGGCACACGCCUUUAAUCCUAGUACUCAGAGGCAGAGGUAGGAUCACUGUGAGUUCAAGGCCACCCUGAACUACAUAGUGAAUUCCAGGUCAGCCUGGGCUAGAGUGAGACCCUACCUCAAAAAAAAGAAAAGAACAAAAAAGCAUCUUUGUUCUUUGUGACAACUUUAUGCUUACUUGAUAGCACUUCCCCAAGUAACAAAAAAAAAUAAUCCUGUAAAAGGUUAUUUUGUUGUGUUUUCCCUGUUCUUUGACAAAUACUGCUCAUUUACAAACUAAAUGUACCAUUUUUGUUUAUCUUUAUUUGUUGAAACAGGGUCAGCCUGGGCUAGAGCAAGACCCUACCUUGAGGGAAAAAAAAAAAAUUCUAAACCUGGGCUGAGAAGAUGGCUCAACCAUUAAAGGCACUUUCUGCAAAGCCUUAUAGCUGGCUUUCAGUUCCUAAGUCAUUCACAUAAGAAAUGAUGGUACAAGCAUCUGAUGUUCCUUUGUAGCAACAAAAGGCCUUGUCACACACAUGCAUACAUACACAUAUACAUACAAAUAAAUGUUUAAAAAAUUCCAAACCUAGCAUCCUACCACUAUCUUCACAGUUCUUUUUUAUAUGUCCUAUAUAAAAAUUUGUAAGUUAAAAACUUACUAAAUGACACUCAUAGUCUAAGACUGUUAAAACACCAUGCAUGAACUGGGUAGUAUAUAAACAACAGAAACUUAUUCUUACAGGUCUAGAGGCUGGGUAAUCCAAGGUCAGGGCAGUAGCAGAUUGACAUCUGCCGAGGGCCUUAUCACAGGCUCACAAAUGGUACCACACAUCAGAAGUGAAGAAUGCUGGACUAUUUAGAUUAGAGGACUUGAAUCCUGUUCAUGGUGAUUCUACUCUCUUGAGCUAAUCAUCUCCUAAUGCCAUUACAUACAAAUUUUGAAUAGACACAAGCGUUCAGACCUUUAAAACUCUCAGAUAAGCUUUAUUUUCAGAAAGCUGAAAAGAUCUUUGAGGAGAAUUUACUUAUUAGGUAUCAGUACUGAUUUAACUUAUUUAGAAAAAGUUCAAAUAUUUAUGUGAAGGUUAUUUAUGACAUAAGUGCCCUUACCCUUUUAAAUAUAUUUUAUUUAUUUGAGAGAAAGAAAGAAGUGUGGGGGGCUGGGGAAUGGACGUGCCAGGGCCUCUAGCCACCGCAAAUGAACUCCAGAUGCAUGCGCCCC